AACGAACGCUGGCGGCAGGCUUAACACAUGCAAGUCGAGCGAAUGGAUUGAGAGCUUGCUCUUAUGAAGUUAGCGGCGGACGGGUGAGUAACACGUGGGUAACCUGCCCAUAAGACUGGGAUAACUCCGGGAAACCGGGGCUAAUACCGGAUAACAUUUUGAACCGCAUGGUUCGAAAUUGAAAGGCGGCUUCGGCUGUCACUUAUGGAUGGACCCGCGUCGCAUUAGCUAGUUGGUGAGGUAACGGCUCACCAAGGCAACGAUGCGUAGCCGACCUGAGAGGGUGAUCGGCCACACUGGGACUGAGACACGGCCCAGACUCCUACGGGAGGCAGCAGUAGGGAAUCUUCCGCAAUGGACGAAAGUCUGACGGAGCAACGCCGCGUGAGUGAUGAAGGCUUUCGGGUCGUAAAACUCUGUUGUUAGGGAAGAACAAGUGCUAGUUGAAUAAGCUGGCACCUUGACGGUACCUAACCAGAAAGCCACGGCUAACUACGUGCCAGCAGCCGCAGUAA
This 515-nucleotide ribosomal RNA is filed under the name uncultured bacterium. RNAcentral describes it as "partial 16S ribosomal RNA". It matches the Rfam family "Bacterial small subunit ribosomal RNA", at positions 29 to 523 of the family's 1533-position model. The record is from RNAcentral.